This 274-nucleotide ribosomal RNA is filed under the name uncultured bacterium. RNAcentral describes it as "partial 16S ribosomal RNA". It matches the Rfam family "Bacterial small subunit ribosomal RNA", at positions 523 to 796 of the family's 1533-position model. The record is from RNAcentral.
AAACGUAGGUGGCGAACGUUAUCCGGAUUUACUGGGCGUAAAGCGCUCGCAGGCGGCUUCGUAAGUCUGACGUGAAAGCUCCCGGCUUAACUGGGAGAGGCCGUUGGAUACUGCGGAGCUUGAGGGCAGGAGAGGAGAGUGGAAUUCCCGGUGUAGCGGUGGAAUGCGUAGAUAUCAGGAGGAACUCCAGUGGCGAAGGCGACUCUCUGGCCUGACCCUGACGCUCAGGAGCGAAAGCGUGGGGAGCGAACAGGAUUAGAAACCCUAGUAGUCC